UGGUGGAGUGAUUUGUCUGGUUAAUUCCGUUAACGAACGAGACCUCGACCUGCUAAAUAGUUUGGCAAAUUCUUCGGAAUUUGUUCACGCUUCUUAGAGGGACUAUCGGUGUGUAGCCGAUGGAAGUUCGAGGCAAUAACA
This 141-nucleotide ribosomal RNA is filed under the name uncultured eukaryote. RNAcentral describes it as "partial 18S ribosomal RNA". It matches the Rfam family "Eukaryotic small subunit ribosomal RNA", at positions 1299 to 1458 of the family's 1831-position model. The record is from RNAcentral.